RNAcentral lists this unclassified non-coding RNA (516 nucleotides) under Polistes dominula (European paper wasp). Its description in RNAcentral is "uncharacterized LOC107064047, transcript variant X2". Lineage: Eukaryota; Metazoa; Arthropoda; Insecta; Hymenoptera; Vespidae. The record is from RNAcentral.
GGAGGAAGAGGAGGAGAAGGGUUAUCAUAGUGGACAUCAAUCAAGAUUGGGUGGAUAUAACACCGCUAGCUCAAGUGGAUCCUCUUCGUUAUCGUCAGGACCAUGGGCUAGUGGUUAUGGUCCAGCACCGCAUUAUCUUCAACACCGAGAAUAUCGGCAACAACAAAGACAUCCUUACAUGCAUCAGCAACAACAUCAAAGUCGUAAUGGUAACAAUUAUCAAUCAUCUCAAAGUAAUUAUCACGGAUAUCAACAAAGGAAUGGCAACUCGGAUCGAUAUGGCGGUAAUAGCGGAGGAAAUAGCGGAUGGAGACGAUAAAUGAAUUUAUUUUUGUUUGUUUCUUUUCUUCUUUUUUUUUUUUUUCUUUUUUCUUUUUCCUCUAUAACGUAUGCUACUAAUAUUCUUUAAUAUUUUAUUUGAUGUAAUUUUCAGUCAGCAUAAUAGGAUUACAAGUGGAAAAUUGAAUUAAUAUUGACAAUUAAUUAAACGGAACGUAUGUUUAUUGUUAUUAUUAU